RNAcentral lists this ribosomal RNA (554 nucleotides) under Komagataea qinlingensis. Its description in RNAcentral is "eukaryotic LSU rRNA". It matches the Rfam family "Eukaryotic large subunit ribosomal RNA", at positions 89 to 650 of the family's 3401-position model. Lineage: Eukaryota; Fungi; Ascomycota; Saccharomycetes; Phaffomycetales; Wickerhamomycetaceae. The record is from RNAcentral.
GCGAGUGAAGCGGCAAAAGCUCAAAUUUGAAAUCUGGUACUUUCAGUAUCCGAGUUGUAAUUUGAAGAUGUUCCUUUGGGGAGGCGCCUUGUCUAUGUUCCUUGGAACAGGACGUCGCAGAGGGUGAGAAUCCCGUGUGAUGAGGCUGCUGACCUAUGUAAAGGUUCAUCGACGAGUCGAGUUGUUUGGGAAUGCAGCUCUAAGUGGGUGGUAUACUCCAUCUAAAGCUAAAUAUUGGCGAGAGACCGAUAGCGAACAAGUACAGUGAUGGAAAGAUGAAAAGAACUUUGAAAAGAGAGUGAAAAAGUACGUGAAAUUGUUGAAAGGGAAGGUUAUUAGAUCAGACUUGGUUGUGUGGUCAUACUUGUCCUCUUGUAGGGCAUUCACUGACCACUCACUGGGCCAGCAUCGAUUCGUGCGGCGGGACAAUGGCGAUUGAAUGUGGCUGCGAUUUUUUGUUGCAGUGUUAUAGCUUUCGCUGAUACCGCCUGUGUGGAUCGAGGACUGCGUCAAUUUAUUGACUAGGAUGCUGGCGUAAUGAUCUAAUAUCGCCC